Molecule: long non-coding RNA, 492 nt
Organism: Sphaerodactylus townsendi
Lineage: Eukaryota; Metazoa; Chordata; Lepidosauria; Squamata; Sphaerodactylidae
Exons: 4
Source: RefSeq, a predicted model, not a curated record
CGGCAGUAAAAAGGAGGCGGAAUUCGGAUAUGGGUGAUGAGUUGUGGCAACUGUUUUGGAACAUCUCAAGCACAGGGGUUUGGUUAGCCCAUGUGUGAAACGGGACUGAAGUUGACUGACUGAAUGAUCAGAAAAAUGAUGUUCUCUUUCUUGGAAGCACCUGGAUCAUUAUUAUGGAAUGCAGGUUUUGGGAAAGCCACAAAAGAGCUGGGGGGAAACCCAGAAGGAGACCAGAUGACAGUGUCAUGCUGAAGUCCCCAGAAGAUAGUGAGAGACAGUCAAAGGCAAAGAGGGACUCCUGAAGCCACUGAAGGAAGGAAAUCAUUACAGAAUUCUACAGAAGUAGGUCAUGUGCUACAGCUGCUCAUAGUUUGAGAGGAAGAAACAUGGGACCUCAAACAUGGAACAUGACUCCUUCAAAAUGCUUGAGAGCAACCCAAGAAAAACAUCCUCAGAGGCUUAUUUAAUAAACAUUAUCUAUAAUAGUCUCAA